This 1028-nucleotide long non-coding RNA is filed under the name Salmo salar (Atlantic salmon). RNAcentral describes it as "lncRNA (ENSSSAG00000120759.1)". The record is from RNAcentral. Lineage: Eukaryota; Metazoa; Chordata; Actinopteri; Salmoniformes; Salmonidae.
AAUAUACCAGCUAUACCCAUCUAUCUGCUGCGGACCCAGUUAGGUGAUAAUAUACCAGCUAUACCAUCUAUCUGCAGCUGACCCAGUUAGGUGAUAAUAUACCAGCUAUACCAUCUAUCUGCUGCUGACCCAGUUAGGUGAUAAUAUACCAGCUAUACCCAUCUAUCUGCUGCUGACCCAGUUAGGUGAUAAUAUACCAGCUAUACCCAUCUAUCUGCAGCUGACCCAGUUAGGUGAUAAUAUACCAGCUAUACCCAUCUAUCUGCUGCUGACCCAGUUAGGUGAUAAUAUACCAGCUAUACCCAUCUAUCUGCUGCUGACCCAGUUAGGUGAUAAUAUACCAGCUAUACCCAUCUAUCUGCUGCUGACCCAGUUAGGUGAUAAUAUACCAGCUAUACCCAUCUAUCUGCUGCGGACCCAGUUAGGUGAUAAUAUACCAGCUAUACCCAUCUAUCUGCUGCUGACCCAGUUAGGUGAUAAUAUACCAGCUAUACCCAUCUAUCUGCUGCUGACCCAGUCAGGAAGUAGAGAGGCGUGGUGCAGGUGGACCAGCUGUACAGGCUUAGUGCGGUGCCAGUCCUCAGUGCCCCAAGCUGUUCCUGUUUCCUAGCCAGGUCCCAAAACAGGUUGUGAAGUGUUGCCAACUCCUAUGGUCAUUGUCACACCUCGUGACCAAGCCCCUUUAGUCAACGAGGAGCCAGCACCCUCCGAUGUUCUGUUACCUGCGGGGGGAAAAAGCUGUUUUUAUAACAGACAUCAAAACCACGCAUCAAGGUGCGCUGACAACGACACUCUAUAGUGGUAGAUAGGACUAACAGGUAACAGAGGACCAAGGUUUUAAAGUGGAGGUAACUCCAGCUAUAUACAGAGAGAGGGGAGUUUCAGCCAUUUUGUUAUCAUUUCAUAUCAUCAUGUCAUGUUAAACAAUAUUGUGUUCCUCAAGUCCUAAUGCUGGCACGCAAAAGGUACAUUUCCUAUAGGAAGGAACAGAGGGGUUCCCACAGAUAUCUACAUGACGUCAACACUAU